CUCCUGACUCAUCACCCAACACACCUGCUCCAAGCCACACACCUGCAACUCAUCCACUAAUCAAGCGCAGCAGUAUUUCAACCCUGGUCUUCCUUCCACUCAUCGCCAGAUAGUUGUUGUCAACCGAUGUGAAUCACUGCCUGCCUCGCCCAGCAACACUGCCUGCCUCGCCCAGCAACACUGCCUGCCUGCCUGCCUGUCUGCCUCGCCCAGCAACACUGCCUGCCUGCCUGCCUGCCUGCCUGCCUCGCCCAGCAACUCUGCCUGCCUGUCUGUCUGCCUCGCCCAGCAACUCUGCCUGCCAGCCUCACUUGGUCUCAGCUACACAGCACACGUACCGCCGGAAUUGGACCCCAGCCAUACCUCAUCCACCCACGGUUCCCCUCUCACCCCUCGUUCUCUGUCCUCUGGCUCCCUUCCCUCAAUCCCAUCAGAACUCUGAACUGUACAAUAAAUCCCCCUUAUCUCUAACUCA
Molecule: long non-coding RNA, 475 nt
Organism: Siniperca chuatsi (mandarin fish)
Lineage: Eukaryota; Metazoa; Chordata; Actinopteri; Centrarchiformes; Sinipercidae
Exons: 2
Source: RefSeq, a predicted model, not a curated record